Molecule: non-coding RNA, 1035 nt
Organism: Nomia melanderi (Alkali bee)
Lineage: Eukaryota; Metazoa; Arthropoda; Insecta; Hymenoptera; Halictidae
Source: RefSeq, a predicted model, not a curated record
GCUUACUAGAAACGUGAUUACAUAAAAAUCCAUAAUCUAACGCCAUCGGACAACAAAUUCUGCAUUCUGCCGCUCGGUCGAUCAUUCAUGCUUUUAUUAAAUAAAAUAAUGAACCAGCUAUUUUAAAGAAUGUUUCGCAUAACACGAGGCAUCAGAAAUAUUACGAAGCCGACAUACCAAUAAUUUGAAUCAUUUUUGUGCUGUCGUAAUAAUUGUUAUAAUUCUUUGGAGUCACAGACUCUGUAUUUUUUAUUUCUACACCUUAUGGUAUCGCAUAAAAAUAAUAAAUAUUUCUUGAAAUAUUCAAUACCGUACGAUAGGCAAACGAUACAACGCAUGUACGAUCUCGCGAUGUUGAUGUUCAUAAUGUUCAUAAUGAAUAUCGUUGAAAAAGUAGCCCUUUCGACUCUUUGUUACAGUUUAUUCAGUUUAAUAUUGUUCAUUUUCCGAGCAAUCAGAUGAAGUUUUAAUCUAUCUCGAACAUCUAGCUCGUAUUAUGCAACAGUAAUUCCAGCUGUUUGGAGGUAGGUUCUUAGAUGAUUCGCAUUAGGUUCCGGAAUUUGACCGAGAAGAUUAGGCAAUUGUCCUGGCGAUAAUCUUCCUAAUCCUUGCGCUAAGUGUAAUCGCACAUCGCCGAUAGCUACGAUGAUUAAAAUACAUGUCGAAUAAAACAUAAUCGACUUUCUAAGUGUACAGAAAUGAAAGAAUGCUUGCAACAGUACCUUCUAACGGAUCCUUUGACGGAUUUUUUGCACAUAUAAGUUGAUUGUAUCCUACUUGAUAUCCAAGCACAUCCUCAGUUUCUGGGAAGAUAUUUUCUUCGGGUACUAUGCUUUGGUCCUGUGGAAGUUCAAAAAAUUCCACUAAUGCCGCUAAUAUGCGCGGAUAAUACGUACUAUAUGGACUUUCUAGCAUCGCCGGGCAGUCAAUUAAUAAAUUUGAAAUUCCGACUGCCGUUACUUUACGUUCGAUAUCACCCGAUAUCUUCUGCAUAUCUAUUAUUAGCACGCGUUCCACGACCAUACCGAACAUCCU